Molecule: long non-coding RNA, 1209 nt
Filed under: Sus scrofa (pig)
Lineage: Eukaryota; Metazoa; Chordata; Mammalia; Artiodactyla; Suidae
Description: lncRNA (ENSSSCG00070010708.1)
Source: RNAcentral
GGCCAUUCCGAAGGGCCAGGACUGCCCGAGGGUGAAUAGUUGAUGCUGAAAAAUAGCCACAAAAGUAGUCAAGUUGGCACUUGGGUAGGAGAGGUUUGAAAACAUAAAGAAUCAUCAAAGAAGGAUGCCACGGUGCCCAGCCCGAAGUGCUCUCAUGCCAGGGCCCGGGGACCUGUUCCCCAGGGAACCUUACCCGGUCAUGUCCCCAGCAGUGGGAGGGGGAGGUGGGGCAGGAGGAUGCGGGCUCUUGCACCCUGCCUGGCAGAGGGCAGCGUGGGCUCCGGGGUGGGUGAGGAACCUGGGCUGAGUGUCUUUCCCACUCACGCCCCUUCUGUGCACACCCUCCUUCCGCCCGGCCAGUGGGCAGCCUCAGGCUCGGCCAGAAUUUCUCCAGGUGGAUUUCUGGCACCCCAACCACCUGGAACACGAGCCACGGCAGCUCCCAGACCCUUCCCGACAGCCCCUCCUCAGGCUGGAAGCCCCCCUCCCCUCCAGCUGGGUGGCCAUGACCUUCCGAGCUCCCGGACCAGAGUCCUCCUCAGAGCCCUGUAACGCCUUACAGGCAAGACGCAGGUUGCCUGCAAGCGGAGGCCAGCUUGCCAUUUGCCUCAGAAGUGUUUGGAGGGACUGGGGGCUACGUUUCAGCUCACUCCCCAAUGGUCCCUCCACAGCCAUCUAUAGAGCCCCAGUGGGGCCCCCAGGAGACAGGAGGGAGCAGCCGGGACCUCGUCUCCCCUCCAGGAGGUUUGGUUCUGGGGUGGGACUCCUUAAUGGAGACCCAAGAAGUCGCCAUGGUUAUAAUCAACUAGACGCUGACUCGUCAGUGGGGACCGUGAGCCAGUGCCUGGCCUCGGGGUCAUCAGAUAAAGACGAUGGAUGUGGGAUGAGAAAUGGCUGGUGUGGCCAGUGUCCUGGAGGAGGCAGGCAGGCUGGAGUCUUCGAAGGACAUUCCACGUGCCUCAGCUUUUCCAUCUGGAAUAUGGGCUCCAGUGUCAGCCUUCCCCCUGUUGGCAAGGACAACGUGAGACAGGUGACGGGAAGAAUGCGGGCAGCUUCCUGACUGUGCAGUCACCGGCCUCGAGGGAACAGACCUCUGGGCUCCAUUUGUCCUUGGAGCCGGUCUUGCCCCCGCUUGCUUCCAAGUCCCCAGCAGCCAGCAGGAGCCAGUGCCCAAACGCCUUUAAAAAAUAAAACCCACACUCCUGAACA